RNAcentral lists this ribosomal RNA (253 nucleotides) under uncultured bacterium. RNAcentral's name for it is "partial 16S ribosomal RNA". It matches the Rfam family "Bacterial small subunit ribosomal RNA", at positions 524 to 776 of the family's 1533-position model. The record is from RNAcentral.
UACAGAGGGUGCAAGCGUUAAUCGGAGUUACUGGGCGUAAAGGGUGCGUAGGCGGCGCGGUAAGUCGGGUGUGAAAUUUCGAGGCUUAACUUCGAAACUGCAUUCGAUACUGCCGUGCUUGAGGACUGGAGAGGAGACUGGAAUUUACGGUGUAGCGGUGAAAUGCGUAGAUAUCGUAAGGAAGACCAGUGGCGAAGGCGGGUCUCUGGACAGUUCCUGACGCUGAGGCACGAAGGCCAGGGGAGCAAACGGG